Molecule: transfer RNA, 90 nt
Filed under: Methylophaga sp.
Lineage: Bacteria; Pseudomonadati; Pseudomonadota; Gammaproteobacteria; Thiotrichales; Piscirickettsiaceae
Also listed under: 2 other names
Description: tRNA-Ser
Rfam family: tRNA
About the family: Transfer RNA (tRNA) molecules are approximately 80 nucleotides in length. Their secondary structure includes four short double-helical elements and three loops (D, anti-codon, and T loops).
Source: RNAcentral
GGAGAGCUGGCCGAGUGGCUGAAGGCGCGCCCCUGCUAAGGGCGUAUAGGCUUACCCCUAUCGAGGGUUCGAAUCCCUCGCUCUCCGCCA